Rattus norvegicus (Norway rat) is the source of this 2793-nucleotide non-coding RNA. Lineage: Eukaryota; Metazoa; Chordata; Mammalia; Rodentia; Muridae. The record is from RefSeq and is a predicted model, not a curated record.
UGUUUCCGUUAGGUAUGUUGUCAUAGAAACAGGGAAGUAACACACCUCUCUUCGGUGGCUGUCUAUCAACCCUUUAUUACCACACAAGGUCAUAUUCUGUGUUCCAGGAGGACAUGAAUGUGGGGUAAGCGGCAUUCAACUCCCUACGUGGUCUCUUCUAGCUCUCUACUUUCUGAAUUAGGCAGGCUGUUUUUAAAAAGAGGAUCAGAGCGAUAGAAUGUAUAUUAUAAGAAUAUUAUAAAUAAUGUUGUAAACAAUAUAACUGAAUAUAUGUUAUAAGGGGGAAUUUAUUGAGUUAGCUUAUACCAUAGAGUCUGGAGGACCAGAUAACUCGAUGGGUCUCCAAUCCACAGGCCUUAGCAGUCUCAAUCUGGUACUGAAGGUCUGGAAACCCUUGGGCAGUUGCUGGAGUUGAGUCCACAGUAAAAGGCCAAAGAACCUGGUAUUUGAUGGGCAUUUGGUCCUGCAUACAUUGCCUUCCUUGAACUCCCCUUUCUCACCCUUGCUUCUGGGACUCACCCUUUGUAGGAUUCUUCCCACACACAAGGUGGGUAUUUUCGUCCUAGUGGCUGUCCUGCAUGUCACCUCUUUCCCCACAGACAGGCAUGCAAGUGUCUCACUGGUCGUAAGCAUCUCUCAAUCCAGGCAGGCUAACCCACAAGACGAAGGGUCAAACUCCAACCACCCAGUCUUGUGAGGGGAGCAGCUGGAACCUGAGAGGCCAUACUGCUUCCCUGCUACACACAGUCCAUACUCCUUCACGGACCAUAGCCCCACAAUGGUCUCCCAAAGCCUAGCCUUGUACUCUCCUGGUCGCAUUAUCAGGUCCCAAGGUCCCAAGCGCCCUUGGUGUGGAAACUCCCGAGGGUUCCUGCUGCAUCUGCCGAGCACCAUGGAUGACAGCCGAGACUUCCCACCAGAACUGGUCUCUGGGUGUGAACUCUGUGAGGUGGCCUCUUAUUCCCACCCUCCAGGGACCGGGGUUGGGUGGAAGACAAGAGAGUCAUAGCUGAAAGGGACCUUAGGCUACACCUGAAGCCCCUUACCUAUAUGUGGUCCUCUGUGGCCCUCUUCAGAGCCCUUUCCAGCCCUCAUGUGAUGGCUGGGAAGUCCUGCCAUGCCUAUCCCACACCCCCCACCCCCAGUUAAAUCUGACCCAUCGAUACUGGCAAAAUGAUAGAAGCUCCUGGGAAGCAUCCCAGAGCCUGGGAGCUGCCCGCCGGCCAUCAUUGAGGAAAAUAAAUCUCUCUCCCUGAUAGCAGACAGUGCCCGCCGUAUUUCAUAAUUGGCGAGACGAAGAGCCCCGUUUUUUUUUCUUCUUCCCGAGAUGUUUGGGAAUAACUCAGUUUAAAAGACCACGUCCUAACAACCGGAAUGGGCCGAUUAUUCCAGCACAAUCCACUGAGAAUCGUUGCCGUGCACGUUUGUCACCCAGCGAGAACCUCAAACCCGGGAGGCAACCACCUUACUGCAUCCUGUCUCAAAAAGAUCUCUGUCUCCCAUCUGUUGUCUCUUCAAAGGGCCACCAAGAAGGCCAUCUCCUCCUGGCUGCCUUUGGGUCAAGAUGCAGAACUCUCAGCCUCUCCUCCAGCACCGUGUCUGCCUGCACGCUGCCAUGCUUCCUGCCGUGAUGAUGAUGGACUGAACCUCUGAAACUGUAAGCCAGCCCCAGUGGAAUGUUUUCCUUUAUAAGAAUUGUCUUGAUUGUGCUGUCCAUUCACAGCAAUGGAAAUCCUAACCAAGACACCCUAUCAAUAUGCCAGGAUUUAGACUUUCUCACCCAAGAUGCUUUACCACCACAUCGGCAAGAUGCUCAACUGUUCCUACCUUGAAGGGUGUUUACCCUUCAUUUCCUGCUUAUAAUACCUUAGAGGAGCCAUUUGGAGGCUUCACUGCCUUGGUUUCCUGUUGUUUCUCCCAUUUCCCUAGCCUGGUUGCCAUAGCGCUACUGUUCAGGAAUGGGUGGUGGGACAUCCAAAAGCUCUUUCUAAAUAGGCUGAGAGGUUUCUUCUGUGUUCGACUGCAUUGCAUUGGUUGGUCUUGGACAUGCAGUAACUGCUCCAGCCUUGGUCCAGGACUAAGGAGACAGACUCUUCUGGAACUUAGGACAUCGCUGCCUAGAAGCUGCACACUCAAGUGCACAGGAUGUCGGGAAGUCCCCUUCUCAGGUGGCAAAUCCAUGAUCUUUGUUGGAGAACUUCAUGCCUCUGGGUUUUGGUUUUCUUGUUAGAUAAUAGCAUAAUUUAUAAAAGAAGAAGAAAAUCACAUGUGUCUCAGAGUACAUCUGCAGCCAAAUGAAACCUCACACAGAAUAUCCAUGCAAGCAUGGUUGUCCUCUAUAGUCUCUCCUUACACAUGGAGCUAAUGCACAUCACUACUGAUUGGUCCUUCCAUGAGUACAUAUUUGGUGCCUACUGUGUGUGUAGCUUUCCAGUGCACCGAACCAGAGGUGGAAGGAGCCUGAAGCUGUCUACUUGUAAAUUUAUGGUGUUUUCCUUGCAAGCUUGUUGUCCAGAAAGCAACAUCAUUGUUCAGUAACUGGGACAUGGCAAUAAUGCAUUUUAAUGGAAAUUUAAUUAAUUUCAAAUGAUUACUUCGUUGUAAGUAGAAGGAAAGAAAAAAAUCGUUGAAAAUUGGCAAACGGGGAAGGAACACUUUUCUAUAAGUGCACAGAGAGAGAGAGAGAGAGAGAGAGAGAGAGAGAGAGAGAGAGAGAGAGAGAGAGAGAGCAGCUGCGAACAUUGCUAAAAUAAGAAAACACAGAGCUUGAGUUUGUAAAGUUAUUUCCUUAAU